Nyctereutes procyonoides (raccoon dog) is the source of this 933-nucleotide long non-coding RNA. RefSeq lists it as uncharacterized. The transcript has 3 exons. The record is from RefSeq and is a predicted model, not a curated record. Lineage: Eukaryota; Metazoa; Chordata; Mammalia; Carnivora; Canidae.
GCCCGGCCGGGUCCUCCCCUUCCUGCCGGCUGCUGGCUGCGGCCCCGGCUCCAGCGCUGCGGGACUCCGGGGCUGAAGCCGAACACCCUCGGCCCCGUGGUCUUCGCCCCGAGGUCCUCCCCGCCUCCCAGGACUCGGGGCUCCCCGAGGUCGCAGGGGGGAGGGGCUGCAGGUCUCAGGGUUCCUCCUUCGACUUGCCCGAACUCAGCUUUCAGUUGUGCAACGGGAGAGCGGGACCCGGGCGUGGCCCGGCUGCGCCUCGACCCUUCUCCUUAAACAGGUCUCCAGAAUUUUUGUUUUAAAGAUUUUACUUAUUUAUGAGAAACACAGAGAGAGAGAGAGAGGCAGGCAGAGACACAGGCAGAGGGAGACGCAGGCUCCACGCAGGGAGCCCGACGUGGGGCUCGAUCCCACGACUCUAGGAUCACGCCCUGGGCCGAAGGCAGACGCUCAACCGCUGAGCCACCCGGGCGUCCCUAUCUCCAGAAUCAAACACCUUUCCUGCAAUCUGCCCGGGUUUAGUUUGGAGAAGAAUUUACCAACUCAAAUCUGGCCCAAGCCUGGACCGUCUAGAUAAGGAAGCGGAUCACAAAAAACAAAUGGGUCCUGGAUUGAUCCUCUGAUUUUCUCACCCGCUCUCCAACAUCCUCUUUAUGGGUCUCCCAUCUCAUCCAAAGUUGGAAAGAAUUAAGGUACAAGAAAAAUGAAGAGUAAGAAAAAAAUAAGAAGCGUGACCUGAAUCUUCAAGUAUAUGGCAACAUAUUGGAAAAGAGAGGCUAACCUGAAUAAAUGAGAAGAGAACAGUUCAAGAAGACUCUGUUACGGAAAUCCUCAAAAGCUACAUCAAGAAUCUUAGACCUUCCCUAAUGUUAUUUUAUUAUACAUUUUGCGUUUGUUGUAAAAAUAAUUAAAACAUAAAUCAGGAAAAUAAAA